RNAcentral lists this non-coding RNA (23 nucleotides) under Arabidopsis thaliana (thale cress). Lineage: Eukaryota; Viridiplantae; Streptophyta; Magnoliopsida; Brassicales; Brassicaceae. The record is from RNAcentral.
GGGCUCGGUUGUUAAGGCUGAUA